UUUUCAGAGUGUUUUUGGUAUGAAAGGAUGUUGAAUGCUGUUAGUGGAUUUUCUGCAUGUAUUGAAUUCUAUUAAUGAGAAUUGGAUAAUUGGAAUCAUGCAGAAUGUAGCCUUUUUGGAGUGGCUUCUUUCACCUACCAAUAUGCAGAUUCAACAGAGUUGGAUUGCUGAGAAUAAAAUUACGGAUUUCUCCAUAAUGGACACACGCACUUUUUGUUUGUGCUGUUUCCUUUAGAAUGGACGAUGAGUCAAAAUUGUUCGUUUAUGCUUCUUCACAGAAGGAUCUUCUGUGUCGUAGGAGGUGGCCUGCAGCAAUCUGGACAUUCAGUGGUCCUCCUGUGAUUAAUAGGUGAACGGAUGAGCUAUUCUGAUAAGAACUGGGGAACUUUUGCCAUUCAAAAGCAAAUAGAAGAACUGGGAGAUUCCUCAACUUAGCUUUUCUUUUUUUUGGUUCUAAAGUGACUGCGAAUGGAGGUAGAAGAGAAGAAAAGCUUUCAAAAACAUCUUCCAUUAAGAAAAAUAUGUAUCUUCAUGAAGACCUAUCUGAGUAAAAUUACUAAAACAUAAUGGCUUUCUUGAAAUAGAAUGGAAUGAAAGGCAUAUUAGGGAGUAUGAAAGUAUGAAGAUUUUAUUAACAUACUUCUAGAAGUUUAUUAAAUAUCUGCACAGGAACUGUAAUUUGAGAUCAGUGGUGGAAAGAGAAUAAAGGAAUCACGUGGACAUCAGCUCUGAGGCCUGUGGCCCCACUUGCUUCUGGGCUUUCUAUAGACAUUUGCUGGUGACCUGCCCAGGCAGGCUAGAGUACCCUUCCUCAUUGCACCCUGUGUUCCCAUCCUCUUUUCCUUCCUUCCUUCCUUCCUUCCUUCCUUCCUUCCUUUCUUCCUCCAUCCCUUAUGAAACCCUCGUUGUGCAGUUACUUAUUAGGUGCUGUGUGAGCGUCUGAAGUCUCCCCUCACCCACUUUUCCAUUUGGGCCACUUGGCCAGUGAUUGCAUCAGUACCAGGGUUCUAGGAGCCAUGCAGGGAUCCCCAGUGGGCAGAGCUGGCCGUAGCAUUUGGAAAGGAAGAGAGAGAACUGGAGACAAUGCCUAGGAACAAAAGCAGAGUCCAGACCCAGGCAUCAAGUGCAAAUCCAAAGGCUCUGGAUGAGUCAGUUCCCAGCAAAGGGACACAAGUAGGCACAGAAGGAAGGACAGCAGAAAACACUGGUCCAGAGAGGGCCUGCAGAGCCAGAAGCGAUGACGCAUCCAAGGUUGUGUUUGACUUCUGCACUGCCUCUGCAACCUGUAAGCACAUCUGAGCCAGUUCAGAAAGUAGGAAAACCAAAGUAUAUCAGAAAUGGCCUCUUAUCAUCAAGGAGAUUUUGGUCUAGAUUGCUUAUUGCUCAGGAGAAAUCACCACUUUUUAAAAAGAUAUGCUGAGAUAGGGUUUAGUUGGGAUAGAAAAGGUUAUUAAACUACGGGACACCCUUCCUUUACAGAGUGUAAGCACUACUACCCCUUUUGUUUGUCUGUUUUUCUUAUUUUUCUCACAGAUGCAGUUCCUGCAUUAGUAUUGAUAAAUGUGUGGCUGCUCCACUUGGAGUGUUUUCAAAGCAUAAAUCACAGCAUUGAUGGUGCUGUGGUUUGGCUCUUCCAGCCCUCUUAACAACGGUCUGAUGGACUUGGCGAGAGUCUAGCCACGUGUUCUGGCCUCUGUCACUCUCAUGGCUGAAACGCAUGCACACCCACAGAUGGGGGCCCCGUGGUAGAGAUGUGCCUCUACUUGUCAAAUAGACUGACUCCAAAUUCGGAAAUAUGCCUCAGGAAUCUAGAAAGAUAGAAAAGGAGUCUUCGUCACUGUAGGGUCUCAUUCACAAUAUGGAGGAGAGAUGGAGGGGAGUUUUUGGUAUAAAUUUUGCCUCAUAAAAAUUCUCCACGUUGUUUUGUACUGUAUGAGGGUAGCGAGAAAUUAGUUGAUGGUUAACAAUCAAGCUGGAGAAGAAUAUCCUCAAUUUUUCACAUGGAAAAUGAAAAACUACAACUCCUUCCAAAUAUAUGUAUGUUUCUUUUCUGAAGAUAGACGUGUGUGUGUUUGUGUGUAUCAUAUAACAUUUAUUUUUUGAUUUCUUUGUUAUCAACAGUAAAAAUACAGAAAAUGAUGCCAAAGAGAAUUUCUGAUUUUUCUUUCCUUGUUUUCCAUUAAAGUG
This 2187-nucleotide long non-coding RNA is filed under the name Homo sapiens (human). RNAcentral's name for it is "HSALNT0372124". The record is from RNAcentral. Lineage: Eukaryota; Metazoa; Chordata; Mammalia; Primates; Hominidae.